GGGGAUCGUAAGACCUUGCGCUAAAGGAGCGGCCGAUGUCUGAUUAGCUAGUUGGUGGGGUAAAGGCUUACCAAGGCAACGAUCAGUAGUUGGUCUGAGAGGACGGCCAACCACACUGGGACUGAGACACGGCCCAGACUCCUACGGGAGGCAGCAGUGGGGAAUUUUGGACAAUGGGCGAAAGCCUGAUCCAGCCAUGCCGCGUGAGUGAAGAAGGCCUUCGGGUUGUAAAGCUCUUUUAGUCGGAAAGAAAGGAUUGCAACGAAUAAUUGUGAUUUAUGACGGUACCGACAGAAAAAGCACCGGCUAACUACGUGCCAGCAGCCGCGGUAAUACGUAGGGUGCGAGCGUUAAUCGGAAUUACUGGGCGUAAAGGGUGCGCAGGCGGUUUUGCAAGUCAGAUGUGAAAGCCCCGGGCUUAACCUGGGAAUUGCGUUUGAA
This 441-nucleotide ribosomal RNA is filed under the name uncultured bacterium. Its description in RNAcentral is "bacterial SSU rRNA". It matches the Rfam family "Bacterial small subunit ribosomal RNA", at positions 199 to 631 of the family's 1533-position model. The record is from RNAcentral.